Molecule: transfer RNA, 71 nt
Filed under: Candidatus Nealsoniibacteriota bacterium
Lineage: Bacteria; Candidatus Nealsoniibacteriota
Also listed under: 1 other name
Description: tRNA-Gly
Rfam family: tRNA
About the family: Transfer RNA (tRNA) molecules are approximately 80 nucleotides in length. Their secondary structure includes four short double-helical elements and three loops (D, anti-codon, and T loops). Further hydrogen bonds mediate the characteristic L-shaped molecular structure. tRNAs have two regions of fundamental functional importance: the anti-codon, which is responsible for specific mRNA codon recognition, and the 3' end, to which the tRNAs corresponding amino acid is attached (by aminoacyl-tRNA synthetases). tRNAs cope with the degeneracy of the genetic code in two manners: having more than one tRNA (with a specific anti-codon) for a particular amino acid; and 'wobble' base-pairing, i.e. permitting non-standard base-pairing at the 3rd anti-codon position.
Source: RNAcentral
GCGGGUAUCGUAUAGUGGUAUUACCUGGCCCUUCCAAGGCCAUGACAGGGGUUCGACUCCCCUUACCCGCU